Molecule: ribosomal RNA, 252 nt
Filed under: uncultured bacterium
Lineage: Bacteria
Description: partial 16S ribosomal RNA
Rfam family: Bacterial small subunit ribosomal RNA
Source: RNAcentral
UACGUAGGGGGCAAGCGUUGUCCGGAUUUAUUGGGCGUAAAGAGCGUGUAGGCGGCUUUACAGGUCCGUUGUGAAAACUCGAGGCUCAACUCGGAUGCCGGUGGAUACUGUCGGGCUUGAGUACGGAAGAGGCGAGUGGAAUUCCUGGUGUAGCGGUGAAAUGCGCAGGAUAUCAGGAGGAACACCGGUGGCGAAGGCGGGUCUCUGGGCAGUAACUGACGCUGAGGAGCGAAAGCGUGGGGAGCGAACAGG